UACGUAGGUGGCAAGCGUUGUCCGGAUUUACUGGGCGUAAAGAGCGCGCAGGCGGUCGUUCAAGUCGAGUGUGAAAGCCCCCGGCUCAACUGGGGAGGGUCACUCGAUACUGAUCGACUCGAAGGCAGAAGAGGGAAGCGGAAUUCCCGGUGUAGUGGUGAAAUGCGUAGAUAUCGGGAGGAAGACCGGUGGCGAAGGCGGCCUGCUGGGCAGUUACUGACACUGAGGCGCGACAGCGUGGGGAGCAAACAGG
This 253-nucleotide ribosomal RNA is filed under the name uncultured bacterium. RNAcentral describes it as "partial 16S ribosomal RNA". It matches the Rfam family "Bacterial small subunit ribosomal RNA", at positions 524 to 776 of the family's 1533-position model. The record is from RNAcentral.